Molecule: non-coding RNA, 204 nt
Organism: Oryza glaberrima (African rice)
Lineage: Eukaryota; Viridiplantae; Streptophyta; Magnoliopsida; Poales; Poaceae
Source: Rfam
AAAAAAAAAAAUCGUGAAUUCCCGUACUAACGUUUAACUGUCCGUCUUAUAUGAAAUUUUUUAUAAUUAGUAUUUUUAUUGUUGUUUAAUGAUAAAACAUGAUUAAUACUUUAUGCGUGACUUAUCUUUUUAAUUUUUUUAUAACUUUUUCAAAUAAGACGAACGGUUAAAUAUUGGACACGGAAAUCAGGAUCUGUCUUUUUU